This 101-nucleotide non-coding RNA is filed under the name uncultured Tubulinea. Lineage: Eukaryota; Tubulinea. The record is from RNAcentral.
CGGCUUGACCCAUGGAUGGGUUCGCUCGUUUAUGACAGCAAAUCGUGGGAUAACUCAAGUUUUCCAAUACACACGAAAGUGUAUUACUCAAAGCGGCAUUA